RNAcentral lists this ribosomal RNA (458 nucleotides) under uncultured bacterium. RNAcentral's name for it is "partial 16S ribosomal RNA". It matches the Rfam family "Bacterial small subunit ribosomal RNA", at positions 338 to 795 of the family's 1533-position model. The record is from RNAcentral.
CCUACGGGUGGCAGCAGUGGGGAAUAUUGCACAAUGGGCGCAAGCCUGAUGCAGCGACGCCGCGUGCGGGAUGGAGGCCUUCUGGUUUUAAACCGCUUUUGUUCAAGGGCAAGGCACGGUCUUUGGCCGUUUUGAGUGGAUUGUUCGAAUAAGCACCGGCUAACUACGUGCCAGCAGCCGCGGUAAUACGGAGGGUGCAAGCGUUAUCCGGAUUUAUUGUGCGUAAAGGGCUCGUAGGCGGUUUGACGCGGCCGGGGUGAAAGUCCAUGGCUUAACGGUGGAUCCGCGCCGGGUACGGGCGGGAUUGAGUGCGGUAGGGGAGACUGGAAUUCCCGGUGUAGCGGUGGAAUGUGUAGAGAUCGGACAGAACACCAAUGGCGAAGGCAGGUCUCUGGGCCGUUACUGACGCUGAGGAGCGAAAGCGUGGGGAGCGAACAGGAUUAGAUACCCGGGUAGUC